AAGCUCGUAGUUGAAUUUCGGGAUUAGUACGUCGGUCGUGCCUUAGGUACGUACUGGUGUUACUGGUUCCUACCUUCUGACGAACCAUCAUGUCAUUAAUUUGGUGUGGUGGGGAAUCAGGACUGUUACUUUGAAAAAACUUAGAGUGUUUAAAACGCAGGCUCGCGCUUGAAUACAUUAGCAUGGAAUAAUGAAAUAGGACGUUGAUCCUAUUUUGUUGGUUUCUAGGAUUGACGUAAUGAUUAAUAGGGAUAGUUGGG
RNAcentral lists this ribosomal RNA (260 nucleotides) under uncultured Glomus. Its description in RNAcentral is "partial 18S ribosomal RNA". It matches the Rfam family "Eukaryotic small subunit ribosomal RNA", at positions 624 to 886 of the family's 1831-position model. The record is from RNAcentral. Lineage: Eukaryota; Fungi; Glomeromycota; Glomeromycetes; Glomerales; Glomeraceae.